GAACGCCGGAUGCGGUGAAAGUCGCUUGUCCGGUGUGAAGCGAGGGAAAAAUCGGAGAUAAUUUCAAAGGUUUACCUAUCGCUAU
RNAcentral lists this non-coding RNA (85 nucleotides) under Faecalibacterium duncaniae. The record is from RNAcentral. Lineage: Bacteria; Bacillati; Bacillota; Clostridia; Eubacteriales; Oscillospiraceae.